UGUGAAGGCACACCCCCUCUCUGGACCUCCGUUUGUGACUCAUCCACCAGCCCCCAGCCUGAGCUCCCCAACGGCAGGGGCGACGUCCAAGCAGCCCCAGAGCCCAGGACAGGCCUGGCAUGGAGCAGGUGUCAAUGGGACUGUUGACCAAUCAGCGUGGGAGCUGUGCCUUCCUGCUCUGACUUCCCAGGGUCAGGGCCAUGAUGUUGAUGGGGACGGGCUGCUGUUCCUCUGUCCACCCUGAGAGCCUCCUAGAGGCCCCAGCCCCAGCUGCUCCAUGCUCAGUCCAGGGGUGAAGAAAGCAGAGGAUCACAGGGACCGGGGCUGGGGCUGGACAGGGACCGGCACUGGGGCUGGAUGGCACCAAGAGAACGCCCACUGCCAGAGACAGAACUGCUCUGGAGUCUCGACUCCUCUCGAUCCGUGAGGCCAGGGAUCAGACACCGGCUGAGGUCGCCGGGAGGACACUGUCCCCAGCUCUCUUCAAACAGAGAAUGCAUUCAGAGAAUAAACAAGACCCAAGAAAGCGCAGUGUUCACUUUGGAUUGAGCAGAAAUGGCAUUCCGAGGCAGGGGACCUCUUCCCAGCCCAGAGAGAGAGGAGGCAGUGGGCUCAGAGCUCAGACUUGUUUCCUUUUCCUGGAAGAAGCUUCCAGCUCCUGGGCUCCCGCUUACUCAGGCCGCCCCCACCACGUGAGAACUCAG
Molecule: long non-coding RNA, 704 nt
Filed under: Equus caballus (horse)
Lineage: Eukaryota; Metazoa; Chordata; Mammalia; Perissodactyla; Equidae
Description: lncRNA (ENSECAG00000057069.1)
Source: RNAcentral